GAAAUGCGAUAAGUAAUGUGAAUUGCAGAAUUCAGUGAAUCAUCGAAUCUUUGAACGCACAUUGCGCCCUCUGGUAUUCCGGGGGGCAUGCCUGUUCGAGCGUCAUUACAACCCUCAAGCUCUGCUUGGUAUUAGGCUUUCACCUGCUAAGGUGGGCCGUAAAAUCAGUGGCGGUGCCAUUUGGCUUCAAGCGUAGUAAUUUUUCUCGCUUUGGAGGACUGGAUGUUGUGCCUGCCAGCAACCCAAUUUUAUAUCACAGGUUGACCUCGGAUCAGGUAGGGAUACCCGCUGAACUUAA
Molecule: unclassified non-coding RNA, 298 nt
Filed under: uncultured Helotiales
Lineage: Eukaryota; Fungi; Ascomycota; Leotiomycetes; Helotiales
Description: sequence contains ITS1
Rfam family: 5.8S ribosomal RNA (bases 1-105)
Source: RNAcentral